This 816-nucleotide unclassified non-coding RNA is filed under the name Hevea brasiliensis (rubber tree). The record is from RNAcentral. Lineage: Eukaryota; Viridiplantae; Streptophyta; Magnoliopsida; Malpighiales; Euphorbiaceae.
GGGAUCCGGACAAAAUCGAUGAAACGGAAGAAAUCCGAGUGAAUGGAAAGGACAAAAUAAAGGAUAAAUUCCACUCUCACCUUACAGAGACAGGCUAUAACAAUAUUAAUACUAGUAAUAGUCCAAUUUAUGAUUAUCAGGAUUCUUAUCUGAAUAAUAAUAACACGGGGAAUCUAGAAAAUUGUAAAUUGCAACUGCUUGAUAAAAAAAAUGAAAAUCAAGAACAAGACCUCUUCUGGUUUCAAAAACCUCUUGUGAGUCUUCUUUUCGAUUAUAAUCGAUGGAAUCGACCAUUUCGUUACAUAAAGAAUAAUCGAUUUGAGCAGGCCGUAAGAACAGAAAUGUCACAAUAUUUUUUUGACACAUGUAAAAGUGAUGGAAAACAAAAAAUAUCUUUUACAUACCCGCCAAGUUUAUCAACUUUUUGGAAAAUGAUAAAAAGAAAGAUACCCCUAUUGUCACUCCAAAAAACGCUCCCUAAUGAACUGGACACUCAGUGGGUUUCUACCAACAAAGAAAAAAGUAAUAAUCUAAAUAAGGAAUUUUUAAAUCGACUUGAAAUUCUAGACAAGGAAUCUCUUUCUCUGGAUAUACUCGAAACAAGGACUAGAUUUUGUAAUGAUGAUACUAAAAAAGAAUACGUGCCUAAAAUGUAUGAUCCUUUGUUAAAUGGACUAUAUCGAGGAACAAUAAAAAAGGGGGUUUCAUCUUCAAUCAUAAACAAUACUUUGCUAGAAAAUUGGGAAAAGAGAGUUAGACUAAAUAGGAUUCAUACUAUCUUUCUUCCGAAUAUUGAUUACCAAGAAUUUGAACAAA